GGUAUCAGCCAGCAGCACAGGCCCUGGUGUAAUGUGGAUGCCAUCAGCCAGCACCACAGGCCCUGGUGUGGUGAAGAUGGCCUCACAGGAAGCACAGGCCCUGGUGUAAUGUGGAUGGUAUCAGCCAGCACCACAGGCUCUGGUGAAAUGUAGAUGACGUCAGCCAGCAGCGCAGGCCCUGGUAUAAUGUGGAUGGCCUCGGCCAGCACCACAGGGCCUGGUGUGGUGAAGACGGCCUCAGCCAGAAGCACUGGCCCUGGUGUAAUGUGGAUGGCUUCAGCCAGCACCGCAGGCCCUGGUGAAAUAUAGAUGGCAUCAGCCAGCACCACAGGCUCUGGUGAAAUGUAGAUGACGUCAGCCAGCAGCGCAGGCCCUGGUAUAAUGUGGAUGGCCUCGGCCAGCACCACAGGGCCUGGUGUGGUGAAGACGGCCUCAGCCAGAAGCACUGGCCCUGGUGUAAAAUGGAUUGCAUCAGCCAGCAGCACAGGCCCUGGUGUGGUGAAGAUGGCCUCACAGGAAGCACAGGCCCUGGUGUGAUAUGGAUGGUAUCAGCCAGCACCACAGGGCCUGGUGAAAUAUAGAUGGCAUCAGCCAGCACCACAGGCCCUGGUGUGGUGAAGACGGCCUCAGCCAGAAGCACAGGCCCUGGUGUAAUGUGGAUGGCAUCAGCCAGCAGCACAGGCCCUGGUGUGGUGAAGAUGGCCUCACAGGAAGCACUGGCUCUGGUGUAAAAUGGAAGGCAUCAGCCAGAAGCACAGGCCCUGGUGUGAUAUGGAUGGUAUCAGCCAGCACCACAGGCUCUGGUGAAAUGUAGAUGACGUCAGCCAGCAGCGCAGGCCCUGGUGUGGUGAAGAUGGCCUCACAGGAAGCACUGGCUCUGGUGUAAUAUGGAUGGUAUCAGCCAGCAGCACAGGCUCUGGUGAAAUGUAGAUGACGUCAGCCAGCAGCGCAGGCCCUGGUGUAAUGUGGAUGGCAUCAGCCAGCAGCACAGGCCCUGGUGUGGUGAAGAUGGCCUCACAGGAAGCACAGGCCCUGGUGUGAUAUGGAUGGUAUCUGCCAGCACCACAGGCUCUGGUGAAAUGUAGAUGACGUCAGCCAGCAGCGCAGGCCCUGGUGUAAUGUGGAUGCCAUCAGCCAGCACCACAG
Molecule: long non-coding RNA, 1146 nt
Organism: Oreochromis aureus
Lineage: Eukaryota; Metazoa; Chordata; Actinopteri; Cichliformes; Cichlidae
Source: Ensembl